Molecule: ribosomal RNA, 465 nt
Filed under: uncultured bacterium
Lineage: Bacteria
Description: partial 16S ribosomal RNA
Rfam family: Bacterial small subunit ribosomal RNA
Source: RNAcentral
CUACGGGUCGCACCAGUGGGGAAUAUUGGACAAUGGGGGAAACCCUGAUCCAGCAAUGCCGCGUGUGUGAAGAAGGCCUGCGGGUUGUAAAGCACUUUCGGUUGGGAGGACUGCUUCUAGCACUAAUAUUGUUGGAAGUUGACGUUACCUUCAGAAGAAGCACCGGCUAACUCCGUGCCAGCAGCCGCGGUAAUACGGAGGGUGCACGCGUUAAUCGGAAUUACUGGGCGUAAAGCGCGCGUAGGCGGCUAGGUCAGUCGGGUGUGAAAGCCCCGGGCUUAACCUGGGAACUGCAUCCGAUACUGUCUAGCUUGAGUACAGGAGAGGAGAGUGGAAUUCCACAUGUAGCGGUGAAAUGCGUAGAUAUGUGGAGGAACACCAAUGGCGAAGGCAGCUCUCUGGCCUGAUACUGACGCUGAGGUGCGAAAGCGUGGGGAGCAAACAGGAUUAGAUACCCCUGUAGUC